CUAAUAAUGUAGAUAUUUUAUAUUCCUGCUUAAUUGGUUUAUGAGGUCAAUGAGGGUUUGAAAGGAGGAAGGAUUGACGAUGUUAGUCAACAUAAAGCACUAAAAUAUCUGUUACAAAUGAAAUUAAAAAAUAGCUAGUACAUGAAGUAAUGCCAAGAAGAAGAUGAUCUUACAUCGAUUUAGUAUUAGCUCCUGUCACAUCCUUGAGGGAGAAAAAACUCGGAGUAUACACAACUGCUUUAGAAAUAAAUCCCACCCUAUGAAGCUUAAGAGUCUUCAAUUCUACACUUUUAGGAUCAUAAUAUAUUAUCUGGUUCUCAAGGAAUAUAAAAAAUUUGUCGCAGCAGCCUAUCAGCUGGAAAUAGCAAGAAUUCCACCUCCCCAGUGUUGGAAACUUGAUAGAGAUCAACCUUGACCAAGAUUUUUGAACACCGCAACUCUUCAUUACCCAUAUGUCAAUCAAAUCAACCCCAGAAGUAGCAGAUAAACAUAGA
RNAcentral lists this long non-coding RNA (494 nucleotides) under Olea europaea (common olive). Its description in RNAcentral is "long non-coding RNA (OEUR_LNC014059)". The record is from RNAcentral. Lineage: Eukaryota; Viridiplantae; Streptophyta; Magnoliopsida; Lamiales; Oleaceae.